AGAGUUUGAUCCUGGCUCAGAACGAACGCUGGCGGCGUGCCUAACACAUGCAAGUCGAACGAGAAAGGGGCUUCGGCUCCGAGUAAAGUGGCGCACGGGUGAGUAACACGUGGGUAACCUGCCUCUAAGAUUGGGAUAACUCGUCGAAAGAUGAGCUAAUACCGAAUAAGACCACAGUUCCUGCGGGAAGAGGGGUCAAAGGUAGCCUCUGCUUGCAAGCUAUCACUUAGAGAUGGGCCUGCGCACCAUUAGCUAGUUGGUAGGGUAACGGCCUACCAAGGCAAAGAUGGUUAGCUGGUCUGAGAGGAUGAUCAGCCACACUGGAACUGAGACACGGUCCAGACUCCUACGGGAGGCAGCAGUGGGGAAUAUUGCGCAAUGGGCGAAAGCCUGACGCAGCAACGCCGCGUGAGUGAUGAAGGCCUUCGGGUCGUAAAGCUCUGUCGGGAGGAACGAAUGCUCCUAAGGUUAACAGCCUCGGGAGGUGACGGUACCUUCAAAGGAAGCACCGGCUAACUCUGUGCCAGCAGCCGCGGUAAU
RNAcentral lists this ribosomal RNA (540 nucleotides) under uncultured soil bacterium. RNAcentral's name for it is "bacterial SSU rRNA". It matches the Rfam family "Bacterial small subunit ribosomal RNA", at positions 8 to 524 of the family's 1533-position model. The record is from RNAcentral.